GCCUGUCUAGCUCAGUCAGUAGAGCAUCAGACUCUCAAUCUCAGGGUUGUGGGUUCAAGCCCCACGAUGGGUG
Xiphias gladius (swordfish) is the source of this 73-nucleotide non-coding RNA. Lineage: Eukaryota; Metazoa; Chordata; Actinopteri; Istiophoriformes; Xiphiidae. The record is from the annotation of a RefSeq genome assembly.